ACUCCUACGGGAGGCAGCAGUGAGGAAUAUUGGUCAAUGGGCGGAAGCCUGAACCAGCCAUGCCGCAUGCAGGAUGACGGCCCUACGGGUUGUAAACUGCUUUUCCGGGGGAAGAAUAAGGCCCAUGCGUGGGCCGAUGCCGGUACCCCGGGAAUAAGGAUCGGCUAACUCCGUGCCAGCAGCCGCGGUAAUACGGAGGAUCCUAGCGUUAUCCGGAUUUACUGGGUUUAAAGGGUGCGUAGGCGGGCGUUUAAGUCCGCGGUGAAAGUCUGCGGCUCAACCGUAGGACUGCCGUGGAUACUGGGCGCCUUGAAUUCGGUCGAGGCGGGCGGAAUGCGUGGUGUAGCGGUGAAAUGCUUAGAUAUCACGCAGAACGCCGAUAGCGAAGGCAGCUCGCCGGGCCGAUAUUGACGCUGAGGCACGAAAGCGUGGGGAUCAAACAGGAUUAGAUACCCUGGUAGUC
Molecule: ribosomal RNA, 463 nt
Filed under: uncultured bacterium
Lineage: Bacteria
Description: bacterial SSU rRNA
Rfam family: Bacterial small subunit ribosomal RNA
Source: RNAcentral